GAUGAACGCUGGCGGCGUGCCUAAUACAUGCAAGUCGAGCGAACAGACGAGGAGCUUGCUCCUCUGACGUUAGCGGCGGACGGGUGAGUAACACGUGGAUAACCUACCUAUAAGACUGGGAUAACUUCGGGAAACCGGAGCUAAUACCGGAUAAUAUAUUGAACCGCAUGGUUCAAUAGUGAAAGACGGUUUUGCUGUCACUUAUAGAUGGAUCCGCGCCGCAUUAGCUAGUUGGUAAGGUAACGGCUUACCAAGGCAACGAUGCGUAGCCGACCUGAGAGGGUCAUCGGCCACACUGGAACUGAGACACGGUCCAGACUCCUACGGGAGGCAGCAGUAGGGAAUCUUCCGCAAUGGGCGAAAGCCUGACGGAGCAACGCCGCGUGAGUGAUGAAGGUCUUCGGAUCGUAAAACUCUGUUAUUAGGGAAGAACAAAUGUGUAAGUAACUAUGCACGUCUUGACGGUACCUAAUCAGAAAGCCACGGCUAACUACGUG
RNAcentral lists this ribosomal RNA (497 nucleotides) under uncultured bacterium. Its description in RNAcentral is "partial 16S ribosomal RNA". It matches the Rfam family "Bacterial small subunit ribosomal RNA", at positions 28 to 507 of the family's 1533-position model. The record is from RNAcentral.